UACGUAGGGUGCAAGCGUUAUCCGGAAUUAUUGGGCGUAAAGAGCUCGUAGGCGGUUUGUCGCGUCUGCUGUGAAAACUGGAGGCUCAACCUCCAGCCUGCAGUGGGUACGGGCAAACUAGAGUGCGGUAGGGGAGAUUGGAAUCCUGGUGUAGCGGUGGAAUGCGCAGAUAUCAGGAGGAACACCGAUGGCGAAGGCAGAUCUCUGGGCCGUAACUGACGCUGAGGAGCGAAAGCAUGGGGAGCGAACAGG
Molecule: ribosomal RNA, 252 nt
Filed under: uncultured bacterium
Lineage: Bacteria
Description: partial 16S ribosomal RNA
Rfam family: Bacterial small subunit ribosomal RNA
Source: RNAcentral